Molecule: ribosomal RNA, 96 nt
Filed under: uncultured bacterium
Lineage: Bacteria
Description: partial 16S ribosomal RNA
Source: RNAcentral
CACCGCCCGUCACAUCAUGGGAGUUGGUUUCACCCGAAGCCGCUGACUCAACCGCAAGGGAGAGGCGUCUAAGGUGAGGCCGAGUGACUGGGAGUG